Molecule: ribosomal RNA, 105 nt
Filed under: Gammaproteobacteria bacterium
Lineage: Bacteria; Pseudomonadati; Pseudomonadota; Gammaproteobacteria
Source: RNAcentral
UAAGGUGGCAAUAGCGAAGGGGAUCCACCUCUUACCAUUCCGAACAGAGAAGUUAAGCCCUUCAGCGCCGAUGGUACUGCGAAAGUGGGAGAGUAGGUCGCUGCC